GUUUGGAAGAGAUUGAGAGCAUAUUAGGAAUUCAAGUAGAGACGAUUACUCAACUAACAGAACUUGCAUCCUCCAAAAAGAUUGCUUUUGGAGAUUCUUCAUAAGUUUGUCGAACAAUAAAGAAGCUUAUAUCACAGAUGUAAACCGUUGCUGUUGCAGCUGAAGCUAUUCAAGCACUGGGCAACCUUUAUAGGGGUCUGAGAACACUUCCCAAG
Molecule: long non-coding RNA, 215 nt
Organism: Salvia splendens (bonfire salvia)
Lineage: Eukaryota; Viridiplantae; Streptophyta; Magnoliopsida; Lamiales; Lamiaceae
Exons: 2
Source: RefSeq, a predicted model, not a curated record